This is a long non-coding RNA of Dama dama (fallow deer), 585 nucleotides long. RefSeq lists it as uncharacterized. The record is from RefSeq and is a predicted model, not a curated record. The transcript is spliced from 5 exons. NCBI's taxonomy places the organism in Eukaryota, Metazoa, Chordata, Mammalia, Artiodactyla, Cervidae.
GGGGAUUCCUUGGCUUGCUGACAGGAGAGGAAGAAAGCAGCAGCAGUGAGGUAAAACACGAUUACUUCCAACUGCCUGGCGGAGGACACGCAGUCGCUUGGCUUGCCUGGAACAGCUUGCAGCUCUGUGAUGGCACGCGGAGGGAGAAUAAUUAAAAAGGCCAGCAUCACUUACUAAGAAGCUGCUGCAAUGCUACGGAAAAAUGCUGGGAAAAGGAGGCUGAGGAAAUUCAGUUUUCUGAUGACUGGGUGCUAGGCAAAAUGUGCCAGAUACCUCAGUACAUUGCAAGUUUCCUGAGCAGGAGACAUGCACCCUGCAGAAGUGUGCCUUGGAGACUCAAAGGAGGAGAGAUUAAGCCAAUUAACUCUUCAUUGCAAGUAAGUAGGAAAAAGAAAAAUAAAGAUAGAAAUCCCCAGAAAAGAGAGAUCCUGCCUUUAGUUUUGAAAAAAGCUUUUCCACGGCAUCUGAAAUAACUUCAACCGGAAAAGUCAUAUCCAAUUGAACUGAUGAGCCACAAAAGCUGAUAUAAGAGGUAACUUCAUCAGAAGAUCCUCCUUGGGAAAGAUCUGGAACUGUAUUUAAUCU